This is a long non-coding RNA of Pygocentrus nattereri (red-bellied piranha), 2463 nucleotides long. NCBI's taxonomy places the organism in Eukaryota, Metazoa, Chordata, Actinopteri, Characiformes, Serrasalmidae. The record is from Ensembl.
GUGCAUUGGAAUGGAAAACUUGCAUAAGUAAUGUUAUGGGAGCAAUUACGAUUAACAUAUUUGUGCUGUCUUUGUAGCAAUUAUGGUGUUUUAUGGGUUAAAACCAAAUCUGCCAGAAUACAUGUCCAGUUUAUAACUGAAGUUAAUUGUAAUAAUCUUCCUGUAUCUGUCUAUUUAUCUACUAACUGUUCGUUUUGUGGGUUUUUUUGUCUUUCUGGUGAAACUUGAAUAGCAUUCUGUCUAGUAAGGUAAAACAAUCAGUAGAAAGUCAUUGCAAAUACUUAAAAAUAUUGCCUCUUUGAAAAUUUACCAUGUAAAUUGUCACCCUCUCUGGAUUACCAGCUGUUAUUCAACUCUAUAAUGCGUCUGCCACCUUUGAGAGGCUGAUGGAGCGGCUGCUUACAGAUUUGUUGAAAAUUGCACAGACUAUCCAAACUUCCUUGUCCAUGCUCCUGGCUUAAAUGGCACACUCUCCCACCUGGCUGUGGUUUUUGUACUGGUCUCCAGCUCCACCCCUACAAGUACAGCCUCAUGCAGUGUACACCACUGCACUUCAGAGCCUUCUGGGUCAGGCCUCCCACAGCUGUGAUAUGCAUUGUCAGCAUCACUGGACCAACCCACCACUUAAAGACUGCAAAACGAAAAGAAAGAGUCAAGCAAUCGCCCAGGUGGGCGUUCCUCCUUUCAGUGUUGGGGUUGAAAGCAUUACCAACAGUUGUCUGUCGAGUCAGAUAAGGAGGAAAUUGCUUAGUAUAGUGACCAACUCUGCAGAAAUUAGGGAAACUGCUGUGCUUGUAGCUAGGCAGAUGGAGGCGCUUCAAGACUACAGGCUCCCCAUUCCACAUUUGGAAUGUCUGUGCUAAAGACAACUGCAGGCAAGAGAGCCAGAGGAAGAGGUUCUUUUACAGCACUGGAAAAGGGGGCUCUCCCUCAAAGCUGGGGAGACACCUGCACUGCUAUUCCUUGCUUGUCAGACCCUUUGUGGAAGGGCAGAGGAAUAUGUCUAUAAAACAGGUGCAGAGGUGUUGCAAGAUACAAGUAUGCUCAGUAUAGAUACGUAUAUGUAAAUGAAAAGUUGUGUGGCAUUAACUACAGGCUCUGAGAUUCAGGGGGUGUGACAGGCAAAGCUGUGCUUGUAUGUGCCAUCGCCUACCAUUAAAAGGACAUCUGUUGUUGUUUAGUUAGUGAAAUGUUUCUGUGUGUUGACUGCUUUACUGUAUUUUGUUGUGGGUAAAUAAGUGUGGUUCAUGUGUUUACUGUCAGUGGGUGAUGUAAUAUUGUUCAGAGCUGGUUAGUGAGUGGUACUGUAUCUGGGAAGAAGCCUUUUGAUUAGUGCAGCAAGAGAAAGAGAAGACAGUAGUGCGUCUUGCUAUGAUGAUUGCUAUAGGAGUGACAAGGAUGGACAAGAUUAGAAAUGAGCAGAUCAGAGGGACAGUGAAGGUGGAGCAGUUUGGAGAUAAAGCCAGAGAGGCCAGGUUGAGAUGGUUUGGACAUGUGUUGAGGAGGAACAGAGGAUAUAUUGGGCAAAGAAUGUUGGAGAUGGAGCUGCCGGGUAGAAGGAGAAGAGGUAGACCUCAGAGAAGGUUUAUGGAUGUAGUGAAGGUGGACAUGGAGAUGGUUGGUGUGAAAAUAGAGGAGGCAAAUAAUAGGACAUGAUGGAGGCAGAUGAUCCGCUGUGGCAACCCCUAAAGGGAGCAGCCGAAAGAAGAAGAAGAAGAAGAAGAAGAAGAAGAAGAUUCGUUUGUUACUGUAAUUUUAGCAUUUUCCAGAAAGUAAACUUCUUUAAUUUCGCAACUUCUUUUUUUUUUUAAUUGCUUCUUCUUUUUUUUCAUUUAUUAGUCUCCUCAUGUACUCACAAGAGAACUUUUACCCCAAUUAACUGCUGUACCAACUUUCCCUUUUGCUCUUUUCAGUCUCCAUUUGCUUGAGAACUGUUUAUUGUGAGAUAUCAGCGGAGAUGAGGAGACAUUUAAAAUUAAGUUUGCACGUGAGUUGUGUAACUUAGGGGGUUUCCAAACCUGCUCUGACUCACAGUUUACACAACUGAUUACACAAGCGGCCCACAGGAAGAUUUAACCACGCUGGUGAUUUCAACGGUCAGCGUAUCUCAUUUCACAUCAAUGCUUCAUCAUGCACACAGAAACAGGUGGUGACCAGGAUAAGAAAGAUCCACAAUGAUCUUCUCCACUUGACUAUUUGUACUGGACUCAAGCUUGUUUUGGACAGAUGGCAGACUACACUGGAGGAUUCUUUCAGAAGUUUGGAUGAUGCGUUUACAUUUUGUUUACAGUUAUGAAUGAGGCCAGGCUGGACCUUCUAUUUGUCCUCAUGGUCUAUUGGAUGAAGCUACAAAAUGGCUUGUUGUUUAGGUCAUAAAUGUUUGCGACACAUUUGCACCACAAAAAUAAAUUUCUUCAUCUUUUGUUUGAGUGUUAUGGUGGCUGGCAAAAAAAACAAAAAAAA